RNAcentral lists this ribosomal RNA (493 nucleotides) under uncultured soil bacterium. Its description in RNAcentral is "bacterial SSU rRNA". It matches the Rfam family "Bacterial small subunit ribosomal RNA", at positions 26 to 529 of the family's 1533-position model. The record is from RNAcentral.
AGAAUGAACGCUGGCGGCGUGCUUUACACAUGCAAGUCGAGCGAGGCGGGUAGCAAUACCCAGUCGAGCGGCGAACGGGUGAGUAACACGUGGAUCAUCUACCUUCAGGUGGGGGAUAACCCGGGGAAACUCGGGCUAAUACCGCAUAAUAUCGUGAGAUCAAAGGGGCGCAAGUCCCGCCAGAAGAGGAGUCCGCGUUCGAUUAGCUAGUUGGUAGGGUAAUGGCCUACCAAGGCGACGAUCGAUAGCCGGCCUGAGAGGGUGAUCGGCCACACUGGAACUGAGACACGGUCCAGACUCCUACGGGAGGCAGCAGUGGGGAAUUUGCGCAAUGGGCGAAAGACCUGACGCAGCAACGCCGCGUGGAGGAUGAAGGUCUUUGGAUUGUAAACGUCCUGUCAGCAGGGAAAAAGGGUCUGGCCACACCAGAUCAUGAUUGACCUGCGAGAGAACGCCCGCUAACUCUGUGCCAGCACGCCGACGGUAAUCGUGA